Molecule: long non-coding RNA, 596 nt
Organism: Culex quinquefasciatus (southern house mosquito)
Lineage: Eukaryota; Metazoa; Arthropoda; Insecta; Diptera; Culicidae
Exons: 2
Source: RefSeq, a predicted model, not a curated record
UAUAGAAAUCAUCUUUUCAUGAGCUAUUUGUAGCAAAAUGUUCCUGUAUUUUUUCAGGUCGAAGGAACAGUCCGACAGCGGGAAGUUACAUCCUAGCCGUAUUGUAAAACUAAAAACUAAUUUUGGUUAAUAUUAUGGAAACAUUUUAUCGAACAAAUUGUAUGGUACAUGUCAGGCUGACAUUUGGCGAAGGUACCUUACUUCAAAAAUACAUAAUGUGGAACGAUUUUCACCAGAUGCUAUUGCAAUCAUUUUUUACUUCGGAAUGUCUAGCCACGUUCAUACAUGGUCAUCAUGUCGUUUAAAUUACAUAAAAAUAUCAGAAAUAAAUAACGCAAAUAAGUAUGCUUGGCAAAGCAUAGCUACAGUCCCAAAAAUGAAGGAUUUUGGAAAGCUCUAAAUGAUAUAUUUAAUUUCAAAAGUGUUUUAUUCUCUUUCCCAGAAGACACCUAAUUUAUGGCGAUACCUAAUUGUAUGUUCUGAUAUUGAAUGUAUUGUAAUCAAAUACAGUUUAUUUUAGAUGAUUAGAAUGCUGUUCUGUUGAAAUGAUUGGUUGUAUAUACUUUCCAUAAAAUAAAUCUCUGCUGAUAAUUUAA